GGAGGUAUGGCUCAGUGGUAGAGUAUCUGCCUGCAAAGUGGGAGGCCCUGAGUUCAAACCUCAGUAUUGCCA
Perognathus longimembris pacificus (Pacific pocket mouse) is the source of this 72-nucleotide non-coding RNA. NCBI's taxonomy places the organism in Eukaryota, Metazoa, Chordata, Mammalia, Rodentia, Heteromyidae. The record is from the annotation of a RefSeq genome assembly.